RNAcentral lists this transfer RNA (75 nucleotides) under Candidatus Staskawiczbacteria bacterium RIFCSPHIGHO2_02_FULL_33_16. Its description in RNAcentral is "tRNA-Ile". It matches the Rfam family "tRNA". From Rfam's summary of the family: Transfer RNA (tRNA) molecules are approximately 80 nucleotides in length. RNAcentral also lists the same sequence under 1 other name. Lineage: Bacteria; Candidatus Staskawicziibacteriota. The record is from RNAcentral.
GCGCGUGUAGUUCAGUGGUAGAACGCCAAACUGAUAAUUUGGAGGUCGAAGGUCCGAUUCCUUCCACGCGCACAA